Molecule: non-coding RNA, 192 nt
Filed under: Priestia koreensis
Lineage: Bacteria; Bacillati; Bacillota; Bacilli; Caryophanales; Bacillaceae
Description: Bacillus koreensis Lysine sequence
Rfam family: Lysine riboswitch aptamer
About the family: Riboswitches are metabolite binding domains within certain messenger RNAs that serve as precision sensors for their corresponding targets. Allosteric rearrangement of mRNA structure is mediated by ligand binding, and this results in modulation of gene expression.
Source: Rfam by way of RNAcentral
CGAUGAGGUAGAGGUCGCGGUUUUUAAUAGUAAAGCGAAGAAGAUGCAGAGAACAUUGAGGAAUUCGUUUGAAAGGAAAAAUCGCCGAAGUUUAUUUCACUUCUCUGAUGAAAUAAGCUGGGGCUGUAUCCAAAUAGGAACAGAACUGUCACAUGAGUCCUUACCAGACACGUGUGAAGUGCUAUCUUCAUG